AAAACCAAGCAGUGAUUUAAGGGCUUAAAAUGAACACCAGCUUCGAAUGGAGUUCCUCAGAUCAAGGAAAAUUUUGUGGGUUCUGAAGAGAACGAUGUGGAACCACUGAUGGAGUUGGUGCUGCCUCACAGGAUGAGAAGGUGGAUAGCUUGAGAAAUCAGGCAAAAGACUUCAAGUUCUCUAGCAGCUGAAAAAAGAUCAGAAUUAGAAGAUUACUUAGCCUCACAGAUGGCGCCAGAAUUAAGCUCCGAACACUGACAGCCCGAGCCAUAAUACUGUGGUGCUAACCAUUACCGUGUUUUUCUCAGCAUAAUUCAAUUCUCCAAAACAUGGGACAGACUAUGAUCAUGCUCCAAUGAAACUUUCCAUCAAGUUAAUGGACACCUCUUGUACUAGCAGACAAUGGCGGUUUAACCCUAUUUUGCUUCAAGAUCAGGACUUUGUCAAAUUUAUAAAGGAGCAGAUUGAUUUCCUUCUUUUCAACUAAUACUACGGAAGAAGUUUCCAAUGGAACUGUUUGGGAUGCCUUUAAAGCUUAUAUCCGUGGUCAGAUUAUUUCCUAUUCGGCCUGUUUGAAAAGACGUGUUAACAAUGAAAUACUUUUGUUGGUUGAUAAAAUUAAAGAAGUCUAAAAAAUAUGCUAUUUCUCCCAGUAAGGAGCUGUACAAACACAGAGUUGAACUCCAAUUGGAACAUAGCUUAUUAUCCUCAAUCGAAAAUCAAUUAAUGAGAACUAGAAGUGAUUUUUAUAUUCAUAGCGAUAAAUCAGGUAAAUUACUGGCUAACCAAUUGAAAUUUGAUUCGGUUAAACGUCAAAUUACUAAGAUUUGCAAACAGGAUGAUACUUUCACAGUUGAUCAUGUUGGGAUAAACCAAACCUUUCAAGAAUUUUAUACCUCUUUACAUCACUCUGAUUUUCCUCAUGAUUCUAAUUUCAUGCAUGAUUUUUUAGGUAAAUUGAGUUUUCCGAAAUUAUCAACCGAAGAGUCCCUAUCAUUAGAAACUUCCAUUUCAGAGGAAGAAAUAAUAACUGCAAUCUCAUCAUUGAAUUCCGGUAAAGCACCCGGUCCGGAUGGGUUUACAGUGAAAUUUUUAAAAAUUUUUUUCCUCCAUUCUUUCUUCUAAGUUGUCUAGAAUAUUCAAGGAGGCAAUCAGUUUAGGUAAAUUACCACAAUCGUUUUACGAAGCCUCUAUUUCCUUAAUGCUUAAAAAGAAUAAAGACCCUACUGAUUGCGCAUCAUACAGACCGAUAUCUCUUCUGAAUGUAGACUCAAAAAUUUUUUCAAAAAUUCUAGCAACUAGAUUGGAGAAGGUGUUACCUCAAAUUAUUUCUAUGGAUCAAACCGGAUUUAUUAAAAAUCGCUAUUCAUCCUUUAAUAUUAGGAGGUUAAUAAAUAUUGUUUAUACCCCCUCAUUUACUACCCCGGAAUGUAUUAUCUCUUUAGAUGCUGAGAAAGCCUUUGACAGAGUUGAAUGGCCUUAUUUAUUUAAUGUUCUCGAGAAAUUUAAUUUUAAAUUGACAUUUAUAUCUUGGAUUAAAUUGUUAUAUUACUCCCCGGUAGCCUCGGUUUGUACAAAUAAUUAUAGAUCUCCUUUUUUUCGUCUUUUUCGUGGCACUAGGCAAGGUUGCCCUCUUAGUCCUUUACUAUUCAAUAUUGCUCUUGAACCUUUAGCAAUUGCUAUUCGUGACUCGCCAAAUAUUGUUGGUAUUACCCGUGGAAACUAAAUACAUAAAUUAUCAUUACAUGCAGAUGAUUUGUUGUUAUACAUCUCUAACCCGGAGAAGUCAAUUCCUGCUAUCUUAGAUCUGUUAGCUCAUUUUAGUAACUUCUCUGGUUACAAAUUGAAUCUUGAUAAGAGUGAAUUAUUCCCUUUAAAUAAGCAUGUACCUACUUAUGGACGUUUACCAUUUAAAUUGGUUACUGAUUCAUUUAUAUAUUUAGGGAUAACAAUUACAAAAAAAUAUAAAGAUUUAUUUAAAGCUAAUUUUUUACCUUUAAUUGAUCAGAUUAAACUUUUAUUUACCAAAUGGUCGCCAAUCUCUUUGUCUUUGAUUGGUCGGAUUAAUGCUAUUAAGAUGAUCAUUUUACCCAAAUUUUUGUAUAUAUUCCAAUCGGUUCCAGUUUUCAUCCCAAAAUCUUUUUUUGAUAACGUAGAUUCAAAAAUUUCCUCAUAUAUUUGGCAGAAUAAAAGUCCUAGGUUAGGUAAAAGGUAUCUACAGAAAUCUAAAAAGGAGGGGGGGCUCGCCCUCCCAAAUUUUAGAUUUUAUUACUGGGCAAUUAAUAUUCGAUAUUUAAAAUUUUGGUUAUGAGAUUUGGACGUAUCUUUAAACCCUCAUUGGGUAAAUCUUGAAUCUAAUUCAUUUACAAGGGUUUUCCUUGGGUUCGGUUUUAGGAACUUCACUUCCUUUUACUUCUUUUAAAUUAUAUAAACAAAUGAAUAACCCAAUAGUUAAGCAUACUUUACGUAUAUGGUUUCAAUUCCGAAGAUUUUUUGGGUUUAAUCAAUUUAUUCUAGCAAGUCCCAUCAUAUCAAAUUUUCUUUUUCAACCUUCCACGAUGGAUCAAGCUUACUUUGAUUGGAAAACCAAAGGUAUAAUAUCUUUUCGCGAUUUAUUUUUGGAUAAUUUUUUUAUGUCUUUUGAUCAACUCUCUAAUAAAUAUAACUUACCCAGAUCUCACUUUUUUAGAUAUUUACAGAUUAGAAACUUUUUAGUUACUGUUUCCCCUAAUUUUCCACACCCAUAUCCAAUGGACAUUUUGGAAAAAAUCCUAGAUUUAAAUCUCUCUCAGAAAAGUGUAGUAGCAAUUAUAUAUAAUUAUGAAUUUAUGUCCUGAUGCUUCUAAUAAAAUUAAACCUGACUGGGAAAGAGAACUUGAGAUUAAUAUACCAACUGAAAAAUGGGAAAAAAUUCUUCAGUUGGUGAAUGCAUUCUCUGUAUGUGCUAAGCAUAGGUUGAUACAGUUUAAAGUAGUGCACAGGGCUCACAUGUGCAAAGAUAAACUAUCUCGCUAUUACUCUUAUAUUAAUCCAAUAUGUGACAGAUGUCAUUUCGAGAUAGCUUCUUUAACCCACAUGUUUUGGUCAUGUCCCUUGUUGGAGAAAUAUUGGAAAGAUAUUUUUGAUAUUAUUUCAACGGUCCUGAACAUAGACUUACAACCUCGUCCAAUUACUGCUAUCUUUGGACUACCAAUGAUAGAUUUAAAUAAUUUAACCUCUUCAUCACGAAGGAUGAUUGCAUUUCUCACUUUAAUGGCUAGAAGGUCCAUUUUGUUGAAUUGGAAAGAGAUUAACCCUCCUAAGGUAUUUCAUUGGUUUUCACAAACUAUGGUGUGUUUGAAUUUGGAGAAAAUUAGAAGUGCAGUUUAUGACCCUUCCAUUAAGUUUGAAAAAAACUUAGAGGCCAUUCAUUCAGCAUUUUCAUUUGAUGUAAUUUGAUCAUUUCCAAACUUGUUUUAUCUCUCUGUACCGUUGUUGGAGGGGGAGGGAGUCGUCGACACUAACGUUUUCUUCUUUUCCAUUUUUAAGUUGUUAGUUUUGCCCAAGUCUUUUAGUUUAGUUGAUUAAUUUUGUUUUUCUUUGGGGAUGGGGUUUGUUUUUUUUUUUGGUUUUGUUUUUUUUCUUUUUCAGGAUUUUUUUUUCCAGUUUUUUUUAUUUGUAUUAUCCGUUGUCAGUUCUACAUGAUUGGGAACUUUGUUAACUUACACUAUUUGAUUUUACAAUUACUUUUCCUAAGUGUAACAAUGUAUCUCCUACUAUUUGUAUUAUUGCUAUGUUUUGUUUCUAUAUUUUGAAAUUAAUAAAAAGAUUGAAAAAGAAAAGAAAAGCAACCUGUUCCAGGAAUAUUUUACCUGAGCAACACACAAAAGAUGAUGGGAAGAACUCAGCAGGUCAGGCAACAUCUAUGGAACUGAAUACAGUUGAUAUUUCAGGCCAAGACCCUUCUUCCUGACUGGAAAGGAAGGGGGAAGACACCAGAAUAAAAAGGUGGGGGGAGGAGAAAGAGGAUA
This is a long non-coding RNA of Mobula hypostoma (lesser devil ray), 4010 nucleotides long. RefSeq lists it as uncharacterized. The record is from RefSeq and is a predicted model, not a curated record. NCBI's taxonomy places the organism in Eukaryota, Metazoa, Chordata, Chondrichthyes, Myliobatiformes, Myliobatidae. The transcript is spliced from 3 exons.